Molecule: unclassified non-coding RNA, 1820 nt
Filed under: Pomacea canaliculata
Lineage: Eukaryota; Metazoa; Mollusca; Gastropoda; Architaenioglossa; Ampullariidae
Description: serine--tRNA synthetase-like protein Slimp, transcript variant X1
Source: RNAcentral
CUCCCUUGUAGCAGGCAGACGACAUUCGUAGAAACAUGAGUCUUUUUUGGUGAAUGUGUUGCCAAUACCCCAUGUUCCACAACGUGUUUUGAAGUAAAGAGGAAUCUUCUUCUACGCUAAGUAAUCAGUAUCAAACUAAGGGAUUUAGUGGACCGAAGCACAUGCUCCACUUACGACAGAUGAUUCCGAGAAAACACUGAUUAUCGUAUGUCAUUAUCAGUACAGAAAGCUUGUUUAGUCAAGGACGAAUUAAAUUCCGGUCUACAUAGUGACAACAAUGUUACACUGUCAAAUCAAAGUCAUUUCCAGGAAUGUUUUAUCUUUGAUCAUUAGGCCCCAAAGGUAUUGCACUAAAUGUGUAGCUCGACAUAUACGUUUGAAGAAUGAAUGUCUUAAGAAAGAUGAGACUAUGCUCAACUCCAAAAUGGUCUGUGCAAAGUACAAGGAAAGACUAACUUCAGCACGCAGGAAUCAUUCAACUGUGACAAAAGCUUCAUCUCUGUAUGGCAUUGGCUCAUCAGAUGAUCGCCAGGAAGCAUCAGUGAAAAUUGAUCUUGAUUUGGAUGCUAGACUUUCCGAUGACAAUAUUAGAUGUCUUAGAGAGAAUCUAUUAGCAAGAGGCAUUUUGUUUGAUUUAGAGCAGCUGGUGAAAGACUACAAAGUCUUCAAAAAUUUAUCUCAACAAAAAGACAUACUUUUAGAUGAGCGCACCAAUGUCGCUAGAGCAAUGGCUGAUAUUGUCAGAGGAAAGUCUCCUAAUGAUAUAAAUGCUAAGGAAUUAUUGAUCAGUCAAGGAGCAGAAAUAAAGGAGAAGCUGAAAUCAACAAUGGCUGCAUGGUGGAAGGCGGAGGAGAAUGUGCUGUCCAGAGCCUUGCAGCUACCAAACAGACUUCAUGCUGAAACUCCAUUGUCCGAAGAGAAAGUACUAGAAAGGUGCCAAGGAACCAUUGAGAUGAAAGGUGAACCAGCUAGUCACCUUCAGUAUGCUGAGAAGCUUGGACUUCUAAAAUUCAGUGGUGUUGGGCCUCGAGCGACAUACCUGAUGGGAGAACUAGCAGAAAUGGAAGGUUUACUUGUUCAACAUGUGACCAGUCAACUACUGUCAGCUGGGCUUCAGCAAAUAGCUUGCCCAGAGAUCUUUAGGACUCUAGUUGUGGAAGGUUGUGGGCUUGAUUAUGACAGUCCUAAUGAGGUUUUCACUCUAUAUCAAAAAGAAGAUCACCUGAAGGCUAAUGCAUUCCACCUGAAAGGCAAUUCACUGCUGUCCUAUGCAGCAUUCUUGACAAAACAACAGAUUAAGACUUUGUACUUGCCGCUAAAGAUGUUUGCUGUUGGCCGUCACUACAAACCUCCUGUCUGUGAAGAUUUUCCAGGACUGUAUGGAACUAUUCAGUCCAACAGAAUAACAGUAUUUACAGCUUGCAAAGAUGCAUCUGAAGCCACAGACACUCAGAACUUAUUGACACAUUUUAUUUGGACUAUGAUAAAAAAUCUAGGCCUUCCUGCGAGACUUAUUCUUGUGGAACCAUCUUCCUUAACAGUAUCUGAAAGCCUUCGUGCAGAAAUACAAGUCUGGGCUCCUUCACUAAAAACUUUUGUACAGGUAAACUUCCUUCUGUGCAGUCUGUUGAUGUUAAAACUACAAGUCUGAUGGCGUCAAGGAAAAAUGUGUUUUUCAAGGUGGCAGCAGUCAGUAACCAUGGCGACUACGUAAGUCGCCGAUUGAUGACUUUUCACAGCGGAGAAUCACACACCAAAGACAAAAGUUAUGUGCAUAUGGUUAGCGGCGUGGCGUUGGACGUCACCAUGUUCCUGGCUUC